This 433-nucleotide ribosomal RNA is filed under the name uncultured bacterium. Its description in RNAcentral is "partial 16S ribosomal RNA". It matches the Rfam family "Bacterial small subunit ribosomal RNA", at positions 29 to 507 of the family's 1533-position model. The record is from RNAcentral.
AACGAACGCUGGCGGCAUGCCUAACACAUACAAGUCGAACGAUCCCUUCGGGGAUAGUGGCGCACGGGUGCGUAACGCGUGGGAACCUGCCCUUAGGUUCGGAAUAACUCAGAGAAAUUUGAGCUAAUACCGGAUAAUGUCUUCGGACCAAAGAUUUAUCGCCUUUGGAUGGGCCCGCGUUGGAUUAGCUAGUUGGUGGGGUAAAGGCCUACCAAGGCGACGAUCCAUAGCUGGUCUGAGAGGAUGAUCAGCCACACUGGGACUGAGACACGGCCCAGACUCCUACGGGAGGCAGCAGUGGGGAAUAUUGGACAAUGGGCGAAAGCCUGAUCCAGCAAUGCCGCGUGAGUGAUGAAGGCCUUAGGGUUGUAAAGCUCUUUUACCCGGGAUGAUAAUGACAGUACCGGGAGAAUAAGCCCCGGCUAACUCCGUG